AAUUCAGACUACUCCUCGAUCCUUCGCAGAAUGAUUAUCUAUCUCUGGGCAAGCGUGGCUAUGAGCUUACUUAUGAGAUAUGACUCC
RNAcentral lists this small nucleolar RNA (87 nucleotides) under Giardia duodenalis ATCC 50581. RNAcentral's name for it is "Giardia intestinalis ATCC 50581 sRNA C/D-box". Lineage: Eukaryota; Fornicata; Diplomonadida; Hexamitidae. RNAcentral also lists the same sequence under 1 other name. The record is from RNAcentral.